This 244-nucleotide long non-coding RNA is filed under the name Prunus persica (peach). RNAcentral describes it as "long non-coding RNA (PPER_LNC006330)". Lineage: Eukaryota; Viridiplantae; Streptophyta; Magnoliopsida; Rosales; Rosaceae. The record is from RNAcentral.
UGUAAUACAACCGACGUGGAUUUUAUUUUUAAAUUAUAAAUAGAGGUUUUUUUCCCGAAUUCUUUCAGUUUUAGUUUUCAAUUACAAAGCGUGAUAAAUAGAUUUUUCUUUCCCGAGGAAAUUUAAAAUGAGGGAAAUUAAUGUUCUAGAAUUUGUAAACUAACACGACGCAAUAUUACUAACCCGAGGAAAUUAUAAAUAGAUUUUGCUUUCCCGAAGAAAUUUUAAAUUAAUUCAGUUUGAA